GACGUAGGGCGCGAGCGUUGUCCGGAUUUAUUGGGCGUAAAGAGCUCGUAGGCGGUCUGUCGCGUCGGAUGUGAAAACCCAGGGCUCAACCCUGGGCCUGCAUUCGAUACGGGCAGACUAGAGUUCGGUAGGGGAGACUGGAAUUCCUGGUGUAGCGGUGAAAUGCGCAGAUAUCAGGAGGAACACCGGUGGCGAAGGCGGGUCUCUGGGCCGAAACUGACGCUGAGGAGCGAAGGCGUGGGGAGCGAACAGG
RNAcentral lists this ribosomal RNA (253 nucleotides) under uncultured bacterium. RNAcentral describes it as "partial 16S ribosomal RNA". It matches the Rfam family "Bacterial small subunit ribosomal RNA", at positions 524 to 776 of the family's 1533-position model. The record is from RNAcentral.